RNAcentral lists this long non-coding RNA (13470 nucleotides) under Daucus carota (carrot). Its description in RNAcentral is "long non-coding RNA (DCAR_LNC005581)". Lineage: Eukaryota; Viridiplantae; Streptophyta; Magnoliopsida; Apiales; Apiaceae. The record is from RNAcentral.
AGGGCGAAAAUCGGGGUUUGUAUUCUAGGGACCAUUUCUCACCUAUAAUUCUGUAAUUAUACCAACUAAAAAUCUGUAAUCGAACAAAUCCUUUCCUGCAAAUUUCGAUUUUGACUGUGACGAAAAGGAACCACCUGGACACCUUGUUGUUUUAUAAUGUGUAUUACCUGUAAAAAAAAGUAAGGAUUUUCUAAAGGGUUCGGGUAUGUCAGGACCAGUUACAUAACCUACAGCUUUUUGGUCAAAUGAAUAUCCAGUAUCUAGCGGCCUAGAUUGCCUGGGUUAUGAUCUACGUUCAGCGUUUAAAAUACGUUGUACGAGACCUUACGACGCUUUUUAACCAUUGUGCGGAGUUACAUUAUGUAACCUCAUACAGCGGUUAAAAAGCGCUGUAUGUAUUAAAAUUUGUUAUAAUCCUGGUCGCUGGAUAUUCAUCUAACGGCCAAAAAGUUGUAGGCUAUUUAACAGGUCCCUGACAUAUGUUUUGUCAAAGCCUCGACCCUUUUCUAAAAGUGUUUAUCAUUGAUAUAAUUAAAAUUGUUACGUGAUAUUUCACUUAUGUGUAUCAAAUUAACACAGAGAGUGAUUAUGCAUAUAUACUAGUGAAGUUUAUGUGUUUAUUGAUAGUACAAUUUCUUCUCUCUGGGAGGACUUAUUAUGGCAUAAUUGAAAUAGAAAUUUAGCAGAACUAUGAUGUUCUAGCAUCGCUGAUUAUCACCAGGUGCUACACCAAAUUUACUACAAUAUGAGUUGUAAAGACUAACACGCGAGUUGACAGCAGCCGGUCUUUUACCGUCGCACUCAAUGCUGUUGAUGGCACGGAUAGUUGCCCCGAAACCUUGGGUAGUAACAGACUGAACGUUGACCUUCCAGUACCACAAGGCCGUCUUGAAGGACAACACUGCAUCUGAAGCCACGAUGUCUGGAUUGUUUAGCCCAUCGAAGUCAUUACUCUUUCCAGCAUCAAUGUAGUUAUAGUUCCAUGUUAGCUGAAGAGGGCCGCGGCCAAAGUAGUACACAUUUGGGUUGCAAGGGUACUCUGCCGUUGAUUGGCAGUAAUUGUGGUCGCGACCAUCUGUCUCUUCUUUAUGGCAGAAAUCUGCGCUCAAAUUUAGUAAUUAUGUCAGAACAUUUUCGAUAAGCAACGAAACAUUAAAUUAAAAGUUGAAACUAAGGAGCACGAUUGGAUAGCCCAAAUGGUGGGUUUAACCUCUAUUGUCCCCGGAUACCCGGGUUCGAUUCUGGCUCAACUCGAGAAGUAUUAGAACAGAUACUCAUUUGUAAGACAUAUAAGUCUAAAUUAUCAAAAAAAAGGUUAAAACUAAGAAUUAUAGAUUUAGUUGCCAAAAAAUUUAAGUGUAAAGGAUAGAAUUUAUACAUCCGGUCUCAUGGGUAGCAUGGGCAAAAAAAGCUGCAAUCUCGCGCUUAGAAUCAUCAGCAGAACCAGCAGUUCCAAACGAGGAGUAGGAUUGAAGUGCAUUAAGAAACGCUGAUCUGGUAUAAAAGUUCUUCCCGUCGCAAUCUCCUGUGGCUUGACUAAUGAUUCCAUUAAAGAAAUCGUCAGAGACAAUAUCAGCAACGGAAACACCAUUACUACCACCCCCACUUGGUGCAGAAUUAGUGCAGGGACCAGCUUGGCAUCCCUCGCCACAAUAAUCGGAGGUAGUGCCGCAGUAACCGUACUUGCUGCAGCAGAGGCCUGCAGCACAGUUGCAGUUCUGGGCAGAAACUAGUGAGGCGGCAAUGAAGAUAGCGGUUAGGAAAAUGAAAAAGGUUUUCAUUUUGUUGUUUGUAGUAGAGGAUGAUGGAUAAUAAGGUUGUGCAUGGAGGGUUUUAUAGGCCAAGGCCCAAGGCAUUAAGUGGGUUUUGGAAAUUGGAGGCAAGAGUUUUAAUAUUGUGCUAGUAUAAUUUGACUAGGUAAGAGCAACUUCAUCAACUAUUUACCAUUCUUCUCAUAAAUAAUAUUAUUAAAUUAGAUCUUAGUUUUUUAAGAUACAAAAUCAUUUUUACACUCCAAAAACCCUCGUCAGAUUCGGACUUUAUGUUUUUAAUAUACUUCUGUGAGUACUAAUCCGAUCAGCACUUGCACAUUAAUUAUUCAGUACCAAUUUCCAAGGAUAGUACCAGGAGGUAAAGGCCAGUAAAAUGUGAGAAAAGCUAUAGUAUAUUGAUACUUCCUCCGUCUCAAAAUAAAUAUCUUUUUUGAUUUUUAACUAAUUAAAUUGACUAUAUAUUUUUCUAAUUAAUAUAUAGAGAAAAGUUCUAUGGAGACCACGUUUUCAUUGGAGACCUUGAAGACCACUUAUAUUCUGCAAUUAAAACAUUAUCAAAUUUAUUGUUUUGCGAAUUACAUUCGAUAAAUAUGACUAUUUCAUCGAAAAUGUUGAAAAUUAUUUAUGCUAAACAAGAAGAACAUGUAUGUAUUGCAAGAUCAACAAAUGUUCUGCACACUAAACAUGGUUUUGUAAAAUAAUAUGUUUUUUAGUGUUUUAUUUGUCAAAUGUAUAAAAUUUGCAAGAUUGUCAAUAAAAUAAUAAUCUUUGUAGAACAUGAUUCGAAAAAUAAUAUAUUUUGCAAUGUUUUUAUGGAGUAUUUUAGUUGCAGUACAUAAGUGGUCUCCAAGUCUCCAAUGAAAACGUGGUCUCCAUAGAACUUAUCCCUUAAUAUAUAUUAUAUAAUUGAAAGAAGAAAAAAAAUAUUGUUGGAAAGUACAUUUAUUCUUUUUAAAAUGUAGUUUCUUAUUUUGUAAUAUAAUACAUAAAUGUUUUUUAAUAAACAUUCAAAAUUGGUCAAUUUGACUUCUUGAAAAGCGAGUGGGACAUGUAAAUUAAGACGGAGGGAUUAAUGAGGAAGAUAGAUAGACUCCUCACUAUUGAGGAGAGUUAUGAAGCUCCUAAGAAUCUCAGAGCAUCUCCAACGCCAAUAAUAUAAAAUGUGGCUCUUAGUAAGUUAAUAUAAUGGAAAACAUGAGAACUCCAAUCCUACAUUUUAUACUUAACUCUUAAUUCACAUUUUAUAUUUAUUUUAUAUAAAUGAGAGGAAAAAGGUAACUUGAAUAGAGAGAAAAUUGGAAAGAAAUUAAUAUUAUAUUGAGUUAAGAGCUACUAGAUGCUCUUUAAAAGAAAGCAGAGAGAGUAGGCUCUUAAAUUUUUAAAGAGCUCUAAUUUUUGACUUGCUCUUUAAAUUUGGGGUUAAGAGCUGGUUUAAAACGCGUAUUGGAGAUGCUCUUAGGAAUCUGUUGGAGGUAUGUUUUUCUUCAACUUCUUCAAUUUACAGAUAAAGAGCUUGCAUAGAGAGUUUGUUGGAGUUGCUCCGGAUAUUCCUAUUAUAAAUGUUUUAGCAUCGCUGAAACUCAAGUCGCGGUAACAUGUACGUCAUACACACAUAAGAGUGUUUGGCUUAACUUAAAAUAAAUAGUUCUGGACUUCCUUUAACACUUUAAACUGUUUCUAAUGUUACCAAAAUUUGCAGGGUUAAAAGCCAAGCCUAUUUCAUUUCUAUGACAAUGGAGUAAGUGUUUUUAUGUAUGAAUAUUUAUAAGAUCGAAUGGACAAGUAUCGAAAAGAAAAUAAGAGACAAGAACACAAGCAAUUUUGGUGACGCGGAAAACCCCUUGUAAAAGGGUAAAAACCGCGGGUGGAAAUGUACCAGCCAAAUUUCCACUAUAAUGUUUAAGUAUGAGCUUACAAGCAAGAAAAAUACAAGAUACAAGCAUAAAAACUGUAGUCGUCGUCAUCAGAAGAUGUUCCCGUCGGCAGCAGUGCGUACCCGUCGGCAGGAAGACUUGAAGGAGAUGAAGAUGUAGAGCUCAGUUAAUAGAAGAUGAAGAAGCUAUGGUGGGUGUAUUGUAGUUGUCCGAUAUGUAAGAGAUAAGUAUAAUAUAUAUAAUGUGGUUUUAGGGCCUGGGCUUUAGGUUUAUACAUAAGAAAAGUGGAGUUGUGAAGGUGUGUAGAUGAUAAGUAUGCUUGAGUAGAUGUAGAUGACUUGUGUUUAUCUCAUCUUCUUGUGGAAUUUAUAGCUGAUUUUGAGCUUAAACCGUGGGCUAUUUUAUAGGAAGGUGGGUUGCAUAAGUAUAGGAAAGUGAUAAGGUUGUUACCAACCUUAUAUCCUAUUUUUCAGGAGUAGUUAGAAGACAAGUUGAAUGGUUCCGCAGUCGUCCGUCGUGUCAGUGCACUUCCCGUCAUGUCCUGACGCCUGUAAAAUCUAGGUAGAACAAAUGUAAUGUUUGGUAAAAAAAACAGAAGUGCUUAUUUUGAAUUUUUAAAAUCAGAAGCUGGAAGCACUAAUCAUUUUGGGACAUUUUUAGUGAUUUGCAUUUUAUUGUGAAGUUUUUAAAUUUUUGAUAUGUAAUAAAUUUUAUUUAUUAAUAAAAUUUCUAUCAUUUUGAUAAUUUGAUUUUUUUUUUAAUUUAUAAAUCUAAAUUACCAAACACUGAAAUUACCCGAAUUUUUGAAAUGAUUUAUACGUCAAGUUCACUUAUCAUUUGUAUCCAUUUUUUAUUUUAAAUAAUAAAUCAUAUUUUUUCAACUUUUCUACUUUAAAUAAUAAAUAAUUUCUUUUGAGUUACAGCCGCGUAGACUUUGACUCGGUGGACUGGACCUGCCCCUACCGGUCUACCAUAUUCCGUCGAUAUUACGGAGUAGAAAAGCACAAUUUCUAAUCCUAUAUACUCUAGUCCAAUAUAAUAUACCUGUGAGAUUAUUUUGUUAAAUCAUAAAAAGUCUCGGUCGCAAUCGUGUAUUGAAGGGAGAUAAUAAUAUUCUUCUAGGAAAUCUCAGUAUAAAAUAUCAAUCUCAAUUUCGCAGAAGGUAUAUAUUUAGUUAUAUAUAUAUAUAUNNNNNNNNNNNNNNNNNNNNNNNNNNNNNNNNACACACACACACACACACACACACACACACACACACACACACACACACACACACACUAUAUAUAUAUAUAUAUAUAUAUAUAUAUAUAUAUGAGUAAGGUUUGAGGGAGAACCUCACUAUCAAGAGAAUCGAGAGAACUCUCAUUAGAGCCAUUGAUUUUUGGAUAACAUUUAUAUACUGCCUUUUAUUAUUUCAAUUAGAAUAUAUUAAAAAAUCUAUUGAUCAAGGGCAUUUUGGAACACAACAAAAAUGUUAUUAUUACGAAAUCUUUUAAAUAUGGCAUCUUGCAUCUUUUUAUCUGCCAAUCAAAUAAUACCAUUUAUAGAUUAUUACAGAAUCCGGAAUCCAAAUCUUAUAUUUCUAACAUAUAUUCUAUUUUUGGCAUUUCUCACAACUCAAUAUAUCAAUAAAAACGUAAGUUAAUACACAUUUCUCAUAUAUAUAUUAUAUAUGAUCGAUUAACAAAACACUUAAUAACAUUUUUAGUAGAAUCUUAAAGUAUUUAUUAUAAACUUAAUCAUAUAAUAAAAAACUUAUAUUAAAUUUUAUAUUGUUAAUAGAACCUUUAUUACAAUAUCAAUAAAAUUAUCAAAAAAUCUUUGAUACACAUAAAUUAUAUUAAAAAAUUUUCAUUAUAUAGAAAUUUUAAUGCAUCAAUUUGUAGAAUCUUCAGUAACAUGUCACUUAGAAUAGUAGAAUCUUCAUUAUCAUUAACAUUUUUAAAAAUAUAUUUAUAAAUUAAAAUCUUAAAAAAUAAUUAAUAUUAAAAUAGUAGAGUUAUCAGUGAAACACUUAAUAGAAUCUCAAUACUUUUGGAACACAACAAAAAUGUUAUUAUUUCGAAAUCUUUUAAAUAUGGCAUCUUGCAUCUUUUUAUCUGCCAAUCAAAUAUUACCAUUUAUAGAUUAUUACAGAAUCUGGAAUCCAAAUUCAUUAAUGUAUCUCUAAAUGAUUUUAAUUUAAAUAAAAUUUUGAAUAGAUCACAUAACAAAAUUAUAUAAUAUAUAUGAUCAAAUAACGACUCAUCUAAUAAUUUUUUUAGUAGAAUCUUAAUGUACCUUUUAAAAUACAUUUAAUCACAUAAUUAAAAAAAUGAUAUUGAUUCNUAGAAUAUCAAUAAAAUUUUUAGAAUCUUAAUUUAUUAGAAUCUAAUCCACAAUAAAAAUAUAUCAUAAAUCUUGAUUAUCAAUAUAAAAACUUUAAUACAUCAAUAAGUAGAAUCUUCAUUAAUGUAUCUCUAAAUGAUUUUAAUUUAAAUAAAAUUUUGAAAAGAUCACAUAACAAAAUUAUAUAAUAUAUAUGAUCAAAUAACGACUCAUCUAAUAAUUUUUUUAGUAGAAUCUUAAUGUACCUUUUAAAAUACAUUUAAUCACAUAAUUAAAAAAAUGAUAUUGAUUCCUGUAUUGUUAAUGGAACCUUUAUUAUAAUUUUAAUAUUGUUAUUAAAGAAUAAGUAUAUAGUGCAUCAAUUAGUAGAAUCGUAUAUAGUAAAUUUAAUACAUCAAUUAGUUGAAUCGUAAGUAAUGUAUCAUUAAAUCUAAUUUUAUUAAAUUAAAAUUUAAUUUAAAAAACACAUAAAAAAUCAUAUUAUAUAUAGAUAUACAUAAUAUAUUAUAUAUAACUAGCUAAAUGAAACACCUAAUGAAAUAUAUUUUAUUAUGGAUAAAAUGCUUAUAAGAAUCUUUGUAAAAGAAUAAAUAAUGUAAAGAUUUUACAAAACAUCUCCGAAUAUUGUUUUACAAAAUCUUCUAAUAUUUUAAAUGUUGUACGAAAUUUGGAAAUAGUAAUGAAGAUAUUUUACUAAGAUUCCGUUAAGUGUUUUUUCAUAUUUUAAUUAAAAGAGGAAUAUGAAAAAUAUGGAGCAUUAUAUAGAAUUUUCAUAUUUCAAUUGAGAAAAAAUACAGAAGAUAUAGAAGCAUUAAAUCAAUGAUACGAAAGAUAUGUAAGCAUUAAAUAUGAAUCUCAAUAAAUACGGAUAAAAAACUUAAAAGAAUCUUAGUAAAAUAAUAAAUAAUGAAAAUAUAUUACAAAAUAUCUCCAAAUUUUUUUUACAAAGUCUCCUAAUAUUUUAAAUCUUUUACGGAAUCUAGAAAUAGUAAGUAAUGGAAAUAUUUUACCAAUGGAUAUUUUACUAAGAUUCCAAUAAGUAUUUUUCCAUAUUUCAUUUAAGAGAAGAAUAUGAAAAAUAUAGAGCAAUAUAUAUAACUUCCAUAUUUCAAUUGAAAAAAAAUAAAGAAGAUAUAGAAGCAUUAAAUCAAAGAUAUGGAAAAUAUGAAAGCAUUAAAUAAGAAUCUGAAUAAAUAUGGUAAUAAAUUGUGAUUUAUUUCUUGUUUUUGAUGCUAUAGAAAUACCUUGAGUCUCACUAGAUUUGAUUGAUAUUAUAAAGAUAUUAUUUUUGAAUAGUAUUAAAUUAAGAUUUGUAAUCAACGGUGGAUGAAGGAGUUUUCUGGUUCUCUCGAUUAUUUGGGUUCUCUCAGGAUCCUACCCCUAUAUUAUAUAUAUUUUAUAUACUUCAUGAAUAGGACAAAAUUACUUAUAAAUUUUCUAUUGAAAAAAUACAACUCUUUUUUAAAUAAUAACCUCUGAAAUGAUAUAUUUAUCUAAUCUUAAGAAUUUAAUAGUUUUAUUGUAGACAUCUCGAUUAAUUAAUAAUUAAUUAACUAGUAAAUCAUGAUCAAUUAAUAUUUGAAUAAAAAAGUUUGUGCUUAGAGAAUAUUAGUGAUAGUACAUAUUGAAUCUCGAUUAACUAAUAAUUGUAAUAAAUUAAUAUUUCCUCCUUCUUUUUUUAGUUGUCAUAUUUGUAAAAAAAAUUGUCUGUCAGAUUUUCUUUACUUGUAUUUGAAUAUCGAUUGCAUCUUCACUUUUGACGAUCUUAUACUUAUCAUUAGAAUAUAUUCUUUCACUAUAAAGCUGUAAAUAAUAAAUAUUUUUGUAGAACAAUGAUGUUUUAGAGAAGAAAUGAUGUGUACACAAAAAAUGAUCUUAAAAAAGAAGAAACAAAGGCGAUAUAAAAAUAAGAUGAGAUUUAUCAUUAUAAGGGAGAACGUUUAAGUUAUUCUCUUUUUUUUUUUUGUCAUAAGACUUUCACGUCAGUGAAUUGUACUGAAAUACAAUACCGAAAGAAUCAGAAGAGCUUUUUUCAUACAUAAAAACUUUCAUCUAACCAAAGAGCAUGUCAAAAACCCCACAAAAAUUAGAUAAAAAUUUAUGAUGCCUGAAAAAAAACACUCGAAAGAAAACAAAAUCUGCGGAACUAAGAAAGGAGAGCUUUCAAUCAAUAAAGUCUAUCGACUAACCGAAUGUCAUGCAGAGAUGGCCCCGGAAGUUUAGCCAAUAAAACUUUAAAGACUGAGAAAAAAACCCAGAUGAAGGACAAAAAUCCGCGGAAAGGAAGAAAGUAAGGUGGAGAGGAAAAAAAGAGGAAGAAAGAAAGAAACAAGCAUAAAAGAUUAUGCUAGGCACCAAAACAAAAUCAUCUAAAAUGACACAGUCAUUAAAAUAACGACAACCAAAAUCGCAAUAUACGAUCAUGAAGCCAUCAAUCAUGGCACUCCCUCAAAAGAAACACAAAAAUUCAAACUAAAGAUACAUGUCCAAAACACAAUUUACGAUAUAAAGUCUAUAAAUCUAGUAAUAAACGAGACACAAAAUUCAAUUACGAAAAAAUAACCGAUAACAGAAGACAUAAGACAAAUACAUUAAAAAACAAUAAGAAUAAAGAUUUUGAACUCAUACCAUUAUCGUGGGGUCAAUUCACACGAUCCUUACCUUACCGAAUAUAAAUAUAUGUAGAUACCAGAAAUGGCUAAAACUGAAUCGCAGUCGCUAACUCGUCAUUGACUCAUCCCAAUUGAUUCAUCACCAGAUCAAAAUCUUGCAAAACGAGUAGAUCUAAUAUCCAAGUACAGAUCCGUUGAGGAAUAUUAUUGAGAAAAUAAGAAUAAAUCAAGAGAAAUUAAUUGAUUCGGAGUUUUUCAUCAGUGAAAAUCGAUGGAACUCCGACGAUGGCUAGAAGAGAAGUGAGGGUUUUCUUUCUUUCUUGGUUACUUGAUAAUUCUUUGUAUCGGCAACGUUUAAGUUAUUCUAGUUGUAUGAACAUGUGAUAAUAAAAAAAUAAAUAAGGGUAGUUGUGGUAAAAAAAAAUUGCUAAAUUAAAAUUUUAUAAAAAGAAAAAGAUACUAGGUCAUACGCCGUGAUAAGAAAUUAACAAGGACCAAAGGUAAAUAAAACAGAGCUUCCACUAAUUAAGAUUACAGAUGAGUAAUUCACUAUAAAUCAAACUAUGACUUAACACAAGAGCAGAAUAGUAUUAGGAUCAGCUUGGGGAUGUCUUCUAAAUUCUUUACAGGUGUGUAAAGCUUUUCUCUAACUUUACUUCGAAUUUGAGAAAUAAGAGCAGCAUUGUUGAAUAUUCAAUUAUUUCUCUCUUUCCAUAUAGCAAAGAACACAGCUGUGAUGAAUAAAUAAGCAAUGCAUUUUUCAAACCGCGGACAAUCAUUGAGAAAAAUUCGGCCAUUAAUGAAGUCACUCCAUCUAGUGCACACUUGAAUAGGACAAGCAGAGAGGACAGUAUUGGAAUAAGGACAAUCACUAAAAAUAUGAGGGUGAAACUCAGCCGCAUUCGCGCAUAAAACACAAACAGGAUCAGUACUCGUGCCAAGCGAAGCAUGCGGUCUUUAGUCAAAAGUCUUUGUUGGAGAAUAAGCCACGCCAUAACCGCAAACUUAGGGACGGAGAAAGCAUUCCAGAGGGGGGGGGGAUUUAUUCGUAGCAAUGUCAUUAUAAAUGACAGAGAUAGAAACCUUUGGAUGCCGCUCUCGGAGCCUUCUAGCAGAAGAGUAGUUACUAGUGCCAAUAUUCCACUGGCCAUUCUCAUGAUAAAAUUCACAAGGUCAAGAGUUGAAGAUACAAGCGGAGAUUUUAGACCACUAUCGAACUGCUCAAAUAAAGGUUUCUUGUUGCACCACGGAUCAUGCCAAAGCGAGAAAUUCGAGUGCCUCCAACCCUUAUAUGUAAUUUUUUGGAGAGCAAGAGUGCGGAGAGAUAGAAUUUUCUUCCAGCCCCAAGCACAUUUUCUAGGAAGAGAAGCAGUCCAGAAGUUCUUAUGCUUGAGUUCAUAGGAGUAGUCCAGAAGUUCUUAUGCUUGAGUUCAUAGGAGUAUAUCCACUGGACCCAAAUAGAAUCAACCUUAGUUAUGACGCGCCAUCACUUGAAUUUUAAAAAAAAAAACAGAAGCUCUUGAAACAUCCUUUAAAACAAAACAUGGGGAGUAUUUGAAUUAUUGACUGAUCCUAAAAUUAGCCCAUGUCAGCUUGUUCCUAUCAAUAGGGGUGGCAUUUAGGGUGAUAAAUCGAGUUAUGUGUCGGGUUGUCUUACCCGUUUCAUUUUUUGAGUCAACCCGAACCCGACCCGAAUUUGAAAUGGGUUGAAAAUUUCAACCCGAACCCGACCGUUCAGUACCCGAUCAACCCGAAAAUGAUCCGUUCUAACUCAAAAUUUAUUAAAAAAUAAUUAUUUUAAUUUUACUAAUUAUAUUUAUUUUAAUAUAUUAAAAAAAUAUAAAUAAUAAUUUAAUGAGAUUAUAUGUGAAUAAAAAUAUUUAUAAUAAUAUAUAAAUAUAUCAUAAAUAUAUUUAAUUUUGUAAUAUAAAUAUAUAAUUAAUAUAAUAUAUUCUAUAUAUAAAUAUUUUGGGUCGGUUUCAGGUACACUGAGUCAACCCGAACCCGACCCAAGUUUUUCGGGUAAAAAAUUAUUGACCCUAAUUCGUAUUUUUACGAGUCGAGUUCGUGUCGGAUUUCGGGUCAUGUUUUAUUUUGUCACCCCUAGUUCCUAACAUUCCCAUAUGGGAAAGGGUGGAUUACAUCCGACAUCGCCCUAAGUAGGGCUGAGCAAAAAACCGAUUUGAAACCGAAACUGAACCGAAACCGGGAAAAAUCGGAGAAAACCGAUCCGAAUAUAACCGAUCCGAAACCGAACCGAAAAAUUAAAAACCGAACCGAUUUAAAUGGUUGGGUUCCGGUUAUACCUCGUCACCGAACCGAUAUAAACCGAACCGAACCGAUUAUUAAAAUAAUAAUUAAAUAAUAAAUCUUAUAUAUAUAAUAGAUAAGAACAUAUAAAUUAUGGACUAUUGGUAGUCUACUCUUUUUUAGCCCUGCAUUUCUUAAAAUUGAUUAGCAAGCAGCAUUCCUUCCUUUCAGUAAGUAAGCAGAGAAUAAAAGUGAAACUGUUACAUUGAUUGCAAGUUUGAAAUUUACUUUACAUAUGAAAUGCAUGAAAGCUUUGUGGUUGAAACUUGAACUAUUGCUGUUACUAGCUUACUGCCCCUGGUUACUGCUGUUCCAAAUUACAGUAUACUUAAAUUUUCUGCUUCAUUUCAGUGAAGUUCUGAAUACGUUAAAUAAUUAUUUUUUCUGGAUUACGCGUUUAAAAUUGUCUUCGUAUUAUUUCUCAAUUUAUAGUUGUCGGUUUUAUAACCGAAACCGAGCCGAUUAUAACCGAACCGGACUUUUUAAACCGAAACCGAAUCCGAAUCCGAACUGGCGGUUGCAGUUUUCGAUUUUAAAAACCGAUAAUAUAUGGUUGCGGUUCCGGUUUUAGCCGGAAACCGAGCCGAAAAAGUCACUUGAACACUUUAUUCAUGAUUGGAAAAAGUCGAUUUUCAAAUUCAGAUGGAAGGGCGAAAACCGGGGCUUGUAUUUUAGCGACCAUUUCUCACAUAUAAUUCUGUAAUUUUACCAACUAAAAAUUUGUAAUCAACAAACCUUCUCCUGCAAAUUUCGAUUUUGACUGUGACGAAAAGGAAUUACCUGGACACCUUCUUGUUUAUCAUGUGUAUUAGUUGUAAAAGUAAGGAUUUGAUGUGUUUAUUGAUAGUGCAAUUUCUUCUCUCUGGGAGGACUUAUUAUGGCAUAAAUGAAAUUGAAAUAUAGUAGAACUAUGAUGUUCUAGCAUCCCUGAUUAUCACCAGGUGCUACACCAAAUUUACUGCAAUAUGAAUUGUAAAGACUGACACGCGAGUUGACAGCAUCCGGGCUUCCACCGUUGCACUCAAUGCUGUUGAUGGCACGGAUGGUUGCCCCGAAACCUUGGCUAGUAACAGACUGAACUUUGACCUUCCAGUACCACAAGGCCGUCUUGAAGGACACCACUGCAUCUGAAGCCACGAUGUCCGGAUUGUUUAGCCCAUCAAAAUCAUUACUGNUUCCUAACAUUCCCAUAUGGGAAAGGGUGGAUUACAUCCGACAUCGCCCUAAGUAGGGCUGAGCAAAAAACCGAUUUGAAACCGAAACUGAACCGAAACCGGGAAAAAUCGGAGAAAACCGAUCCGAAUAUAACCGAUCCGAAACCGAACCGAAAAAUUAAAAACCGAACCGAUUUAAAUGGUUGGGUUCCGGUUAUACCUCGUCACCGAACCGAUAUAAACCGAACCGAACCGAUUAUUAAAAUAAUAAUUAAAUAAUAAAUCUUAUAUAUAUAAUAGAUAAGAACAUAUAAAUUAUGGACUAUUGGUAGUCUACUCUUUUUUAGCCCUGCAUUUCUUAAAAUUGAUUAGCAUGCAGCAUUCCUUCCUUUCAGUAAGUAAGCAGAGAAUAAAAGUGAAACUGUUACAUUGAUUCCAAGUUUGAAAUUUACUUUACAUAUGAAAUGCAUGAAAGCUUUGUGGUUGAAACUUGAACUAUUGCUGUUACUAGCUUACUGCCCCUGGUUACUGCUGUUCCAAAUUACAGUAUACUUAAAUUUUCUGCUUCAUUUCAGUGAAGUUCUGAAUACGUUAAAUAAUUAUUUUUUCUGGAUUACGCGUUUAAAAUUGUCUUCGUAUUAUUUCUCAAUUUAUAGUUGUCGGUUUUAUAACCGAAACCGAGCCGAUUAUAACCGAACCGGACUUUUUAAACCGAAACCGAAUCCGAAUCCGAACUGGCGGUUGCAGUUUUCGAUUUUAAAAACCGAUAAUAUAUGGUUGCGGUUCCGGUUUUAGCCGGAAACCGAGCCGAAAAAGUCACUUGAACACUUUAUUCAUGAUUGGAAAAAGUCGAUUUUCAAAUUCAGAUGGAAGGGCGAAAACCGGGGCUUGUAUUUUAGCGACCAUUUCUCACAUAUAAUUCUGUAAUUUUACCAACUAAAAAUUUGUAAUCAACAAACCUUCUCCUGCAAAUUUCGAUUUUGACUGUGACGAAAAGGAAUUACCUGGACACCUUCUUGUUUAUCAUGUGUAUUAGUUGUAAAAGUAAGGAUUUGAUGUGUUUAUUGAUAGUGCAAUUUCUUCUCUCUGGGAGGACUUAUUAUGGCAUAAAUGAAAUUGAAAUAUAGUAGAACUAUGAUGUUCUAGCAUCCCUGAUUAUCACCAGGUGCUACACCAAAUUUACUGCAAUAUGAAUUGUAAAGACUGACACGCGAGUUGACAGCAUCCGGGCUUCCACCGUUGCACUCAAUGCUGUUGAUGGCACGGAUGGUUGCCCCGAAACCUUGGCUAGUAACAGACUGAACUUUGACCUUCCAGUACCACAAGGCCGUCUUGAAGGACACCACUGCAUCUGAAGCCACGAUGUCCGGAUUGUUUAGCCCAUCAAAAUCAUUACUGUUUCCGGCAUCAAUGUAGUUAU